Neolamprologus brichardi is the source of this 1055-nucleotide non-coding RNA. The record is from RefSeq and is a predicted model, not a curated record. Lineage: Eukaryota; Metazoa; Chordata; Actinopteri; Cichliformes; Cichlidae.
UGGAAAUUAAAUUAUGUCAUCACGCGCUGUUUGCGUCAGGAACUACCCUGCUGCAAUUUCACACGUGUUUAUGCUUCCAAAGACUUUAGGACAGCAGGAACUGGCAUAGUAGGAGGAUAGUUUAAACCCCGAGAGGAAUGUGCGUGUUCACGAAAGACGUCGCUGAUUCUGACUGACUUUAGUAGACAGGAUGAAUAAUGAAAGUCCUGCUCCUCCUGCCACCGGCGCCAUUACUCCCCUCCAACAGAUGGUGGCGUCCUGCUCCGGUGCCAUCCUUACGUCGCUGUUUGUUACACCUCUGGAUGUUGUGAAGAUCAGGCUACAAGCACAGAAAAAUCCCUUUCCCAAAGGUGAAAUGAAUUUACACUGUGUUGACUGACUGUAUUUUUGUUUUGUUUUUUAAAUUCUGUUACAUAUAUCAGACCGUGAUACUGCGCAUGCAAAAACAAGCAUUAUUGUGGGUCCAUUAUAUACUAAACCAGGGGAGUCAAACUAAUUUUCGUUAAGGGGCAGUAUAAACUGUCACUUUAUAAACUUUAUAACCUACACGAAUCAGGAGUGGGAUUAGGAAGCAGCUAGAAGAGAGCCUGGAGAAGUGGAGGCAUGAAAGUCAGAAUACAUGUGUGUGAAUGGAAGGGAGACAGUGUAACAGUCAAGGUGGAUGAGUUUAAUACCUGCAAUGAAACAUCCAAAGCGCCAAAACUGCUUUUAUAUUUCCAUACAUUUUCAUACCCUUGUUGUACUGCUAGCUUCACAUUACCACACUAGAAACAGCAGUGAAUUUUACUCAAUAAUUGGUUUAGCCAGUAACAACUUCAUCGAAAUGUUCGCAUUUUGCUGACCUGAACAUCCAGCUGGCCUGCGUUUGAUGUCACUGUAUUAAAUGUUAAUGUUAAUAUUUUUCAGGCAAAUGCUUUGUCUACUGCAAUGGACUUAUGGACCACAUAUGUAUAUGUGAAAAUGGGAAUUCCAAGGCCUGGUACAAAGCUCCAGGUCACUUUAGUGGCACGCUGGUAAAAUUUUACAUCCACAUUACAGUUUACCACUAUAAUUAC